Molecule: ribosomal RNA, 84 nt
Filed under: Nocardia otitidiscaviarum
Lineage: Bacteria; Bacillati; Actinomycetota; Actinomycetes; Mycobacteriales; Nocardiaceae
Also listed under: 2 other names
Description: partial 23S ribosomal RNA
Rfam family: Bacterial large subunit ribosomal RNA
Source: RNAcentral
UAGUAAGUGUGUAAGAGCGUACGGUGGAUGCCUUGGCACCAGGAGCCGAUGAAGGACGUAGGAGGCUGCGAUAAGCCUCGGGGA